Molecule: ribosomal RNA, 482 nt
Filed under: uncultured bacterium
Lineage: Bacteria
Description: partial 16S ribosomal RNA
Rfam family: Bacterial small subunit ribosomal RNA
Source: RNAcentral
GACGAACGCUGGCGGCGUGCUUAACACAUGCAAGUCGAACGAUGAAGCUGGAGCUUGCUCCGGUGGAUUAAUGGCGAACGGGUGAGUACACGUGAGCAAUCUGCCCUUGACUCUGGGAUAACUGCGGGAAACUGUAGCUAAUACCGGAUACGAGGCUCGAAGGCAUCUUCGGGUCUGGAAAGAAUUUCGGUCAAGGAUGAGCUCGCGGCCUAUCAGCUUGUUGGUGAGGUAAUGGCUCACCAAGGCGACGACGGGUAGCCGGCCUGAGAGGGUGACGGGCAAGACGGGGAGUGAGAAACGGCCAAGACUCCUACGGGAGGAAGCAGUGGGGAAGAUUGUACAAGGGGGGAAAGACUGAUGCAGCAACGCCGCGUGAGGGAUGAAGGCCUUCGGGUUGUAAACCUCUUUUAGCAGGGAAGAAGCGAAAGUGACGGUACCUGCAGAAAAAGCACCGGCUAACUACGUGCCAGCAGCCGCCGUAA